GACGGAGGGUGCAAGCGUUGUUCGGAAUCACUGGGCGUAAAGCGCGUGUCGGCGGUUGAAUAAGUCGGAUGUGAAAGCCCGGAGCUUAACUCCGGAAGUGCAUUCGAAACUGUUCGGCUCGAGUACGGGAGAGGGAAGUGGAAUUCCUGGUGUAGAGGUGAAAUUCGUAGAUAUCAGGAGGAACACCGGUGGCGAAGGCGGCUUCCUGGACCGAUACUGACGCUGAGACGCGAAAGCGUGGGGAGCAAACAGG
This 253-nucleotide ribosomal RNA is filed under the name uncultured bacterium. RNAcentral describes it as "partial 16S ribosomal RNA". It matches the Rfam family "Bacterial small subunit ribosomal RNA", at positions 524 to 776 of the family's 1533-position model. The record is from RNAcentral.